This 468-nucleotide ribosomal RNA is filed under the name uncultured bacterium. RNAcentral's name for it is "partial 16S ribosomal RNA". It matches the Rfam family "Bacterial small subunit ribosomal RNA", at positions 28 to 507 of the family's 1533-position model. The record is from RNAcentral.
GACGAACGCUGGCGGCGUGCUUAACACAUGCAAGUCGAACGGAAAGGCCCUGCUUUUGUGGGGUGCUCGAGUGGCGAACGGGUGAGUAACACGUGAGUAACCUGCCCUUGACUUUGGGAUAACUUCAGGAAACUGGGGCUAAUACCGGAUAGGAGCUCCUGCUGCAUGGUGGGGGUUGGAAAGUUUCGGCGGUUGGGGAUGGACUCGCGGCUUACCAGCUUGUUGGUGGGGUAGUGGCUUACCAAGGCUUUGACGGGUAGCCGGCCUGAGAGGGUGGACGGCGUCAUUGGUACUGAGGUACGGCCCAGACUCCAACGGGAGGCAGUAGUGGGGAGUAUUGUACAAUGGGCGGACGCGUGAUGCAGAAACGCCGCGUGCGGGAUGACGGCCUUCGGGUUGUAAACCGCUUUAGCCUGUGACGAAGCGUGAGUGACGGUAAUGGGUAAAGAAGCACCGGCUAACUACGUG